This 473-nucleotide ribosomal RNA is filed under the name uncultured bacterium. Its description in RNAcentral is "SSU rRNA". It matches the Rfam family "Bacterial small subunit ribosomal RNA", at positions 26 to 518 of the family's 1533-position model. The record is from RNAcentral.
AGGACGAACGCUGGCGGCGUGCUUAACACAUGCAAGUCGAGCGGAAAGGCCCUUCGGGGUACUCGAGCGGCGAACGGGUGAGUAACACGUGAGCAAUCUGCCCUUAGCUUCGGGAUAGCCCCGGGAAACCGGGAUUAAUACCGAAUACGACCUCGGCCGACAUCGGCUUUGGUGGAAAGUUUUUCGGCUAGGGAUGAACUCGCGGCCUAUCAGCUUGUUGGUGGGGUAAUGGCCUACCAAGGCGACGACGGGUAGCCGGCCUGAGAGGGCGACCGGCCACACUGGGACUGAGACACGGCCCAGACUCCUACGGGAGGCAGCAGUGGGGAAUAUUGCGCAAUGGGCGAAAGCCUGACGCAGCGACGCCGCGUGGGGGAUGAAGGCCUUCGGGUUGUAAACCCUUUCAGCAGGGACGAAGCGAGAGUGACGGUACCUGCAGAAGAAGCGCCGGCUAACUACGUGCCAGCAGCCGC